Daphnia pulex (common water flea) is the source of this 1757-nucleotide long non-coding RNA. RefSeq lists it as uncharacterized. The record is from RefSeq and is a predicted model, not a curated record. Lineage: Eukaryota; Metazoa; Arthropoda; Branchiopoda; Diplostraca; Daphniidae. The transcript has 6 exons.
AUUUUAUUUGUGAAAUGAAACUAUAUAUAAAUUUUUUUAAUAUACUUAUAUAAUAUAAUUAUUAAUAUACUUUAAGUACGAUUAAGUGAAAUUAGUCAUUUAACAAUAAUAAAACCUGGAAACAAGCAACUGUUUCCACUAUCAUCUUAUAAAUUACUCACUAAAUUAAUGACAAGUCGCAUCUAUUUCCUUAAUCAGGCGAUAAUCAAAAUUUAGCAUGGGCGCAUUGCUGUGGAGCCUUUUAAUAGCUCAAAGCUGUGUUCUUCUUUUCUUGGCGUCAAGCGUUCACACGAUUUAACUAGCUCUGAAUAAUAAACUGCAAUUGUUAUUCAACAAACCCUUUACUUCAGAACAGUCUCAAAGCUUUGGCUGUUUCAUCAUUCUGCAAUACAGGAUGUGGAAGUCAACACCUCUAAAGUUCAAAUGACUUGAUGGUACUUGGCAGUACAUGACAGCAUAUAUAGAGCAAAUGGUAUCCAAUUUCAUUUGGCUGCAACAAUCAAUGCAGAGACAGAAGGAACAGCAAGUCACAAAAGAUUUUUUCCUUGUCCCAGUAACAACAACAUUAACUUUAUUUUUCGAACCGAGUAUAUCAGUCUAGUGUUCCUUAUUUAGCUGUUGAGCAUUUAUUUAUUAAUUUGAGAGGAUGCAGGAAUGUGGGAAGCUGUUGGUUGCAAAGAUAGUUUUCAGGGUACCAAGUUCCAAGUUUAGGAGAAACACGCAAGUGACAAAGGAUUUGAUGUUCAUUGUCCCAGCAAUAACCAAACAACCAAUUACUUGGCUUUUGAUAUGAUACAAGAAAGUAAGAAGCUGUUGAUUGUUUGAUCCAGAAUCCAAGUCACAUCUAGCAUGUAUAAUGUUCUUAUGGCACCUUUCGAAAUGUGGAACUUCACUCAUAAAAAAAUUGUGCAGACUGCAUGGAAUUUUCAUUUAUGUUUGUUGUUAGUGUUGAUAACAUACUGACUGAAGGCCAGACUCUUUGGCAAUGCGAUGCAACAGUCUGCUACACACAGUCUGUGGAGAUGGUGUUAUCCUGAAAUGGAGAACCAAGACCUGAAGUGGAUCUGCAAGAAGACUUCUUGAAAUGGUGUCGUCGGAAAAGAGUCUGUGAUUCCUGUGUUAUCCUGGGGUAUGUUGGUAAUCUGACAAAUAUGCUUGUGGCUGCUUGUUUGUGAUUAGUGUCUUGUAUGACGUAGUCCAUAAUGUCGAUAAGUGCAUAUCAGCGCUCUUUUCUUUUCUUUGACCCCGUUUCCCCAACUAACCAACGCCAGUCGGUGAUCACUCACCCGCCGUGACAACGAGUAGAAGAUGUCUCUGGUCGAACGGACGGGUCGAACUGGAAGCUUUGAGGGUUAUGAAUCCAACCCAGAAACCUAUUAUGACUACAUCUUCUCAAAAACCCUUAAAGAAGAAAAUCAAACAUAUAUAAAGCUAAGUCAACAACAGAUGACAAUCAGCCUUCCUAGUUUCUGCAUGCUUUAAUUGGUCAGUUUUCAAUGCUGGUUAUUCAACCCCCAUAAUUACUAUACAGCUGGAUUUUACGUUUUAGAAGAGAUAACAUAUUAGACCAAUAUAAAAGAAUUUCUCAUUAAGGACUAUUUACAUUUAAGUAUCAAAACAAGACUUCAUGAACACGGGUCUCAUGAUAUCCCGCAUAUUGAAUAUUGAUAGUGCGCUGCCUUAUUCGAAUUACCUAGGCGAAUUUUAUGAGAUGAUAUAUAUUUUAAGUUUCAAUAAAAACUAAUUAUUACUUAAAA